This is a long non-coding RNA of Thalassophryne amazonica, 473 nucleotides long. RefSeq lists it as uncharacterized. NCBI's taxonomy places the organism in Eukaryota, Metazoa, Chordata, Actinopteri, Batrachoidiformes, Batrachoididae. The transcript has 2 exons. The record is from RefSeq and is a predicted model, not a curated record.
UUAAUCUGCAUAUUGAUUUAGCACAUGUUUUUGACUGGAUGCCUUUUUGUCCUGCAACUCCAGAUCGAGAAAGAAGCAAAUGCUGGGUGAAAGAACUGUGCCGAUCAAAUGCCUUCUGCAGGUUUCCUAGCAACAGCAAACAAAGGCAGGACCCAUCUCAAGUUUCCCGUGGAGCGGCCAGUCCGGCGUGCCUUUGAUCUUGACUGGGAAAAUAGCUGAGUGGGCACUACUCACAUUUGUCUUUCAUUUACUCCACCCCCGGAAAAAAAGAAAAAAAAGCUCCCACAAACGGCCAAAUCUUCAUCUGUCCCCAGCAACCAAUACCUUGCCUGGAUAAUCAACCAAAGAAAGACAGUGAAGAACUGUAAAGCUGAGUUGAAAUUGGACGUUUUUGUUUAGGUGAAAAUUGCUACCUUCAUUAGGCCAGUCAUAUGUAGUUUUUGAAGUCUACAUACUAAAAUUGGGCUGUUCAC